AGCUCCAAUAGCGUAUAUUAAAGUUGUUGCAGUUAAAAAGCUCGUAGUUGGAUCUCGGGUCUAGGCUUGCGGUUCGCCUCGCGGCGGUUACUGCUCGUCCUGGCCUACCUCCCGGUUUUCCCUUGGUGCUCUUAAGUGAGUGUCUCGGGUGGCCGGAACGUUUACUUUGAAAAAAUUAGAGUGUUCAAAGCAGGCAUUCUGCCUGAAUAAUGGUGCAUGGAAUAAUGGAAUAGGACCUCGGUUCUAUUUUGUUGGUUUUCGGAACUUGAGGUAAUGAUUAAGAGGGACAGACGGGGGCAUUCGUAUUACGGUGUUAGAGGUGAAAUUCUUGGAUCGCCGUAAGACGAACAACUGCGAAAGCAUUUGCCAAGAAUGUUUUCAUUA
RNAcentral lists this ribosomal RNA (384 nucleotides) under Phoronis sp. RNAcentral's name for it is "partial small subunit ribosomal RNA". It matches the Rfam family "Eukaryotic small subunit ribosomal RNA", at positions 587 to 975 of the family's 1831-position model. Lineage: Eukaryota; Metazoa; Phoronida; Phoronidae. The record is from RNAcentral.